ACUGAAACACCAGAUCCUGUAUGAUCACCAAAGUUAAGCAAUGUUGAACCUGGUCAGUACCUAGAUGGGUCACUGCUUGGGAAUACCAGAUGCUGUAA
Acanthosepion pharaonis is the source of this 98-nucleotide non-coding RNA. The record is from the annotation of a GenBank genome assembly. NCBI's taxonomy places the organism in Eukaryota, Metazoa, Mollusca, Cephalopoda, Sepiida, Sepiidae.